This 973-nucleotide ribosomal RNA is filed under the name Isoptericola sp. RNAcentral's name for it is "bacterial SSU rRNA". It matches the Rfam family "Bacterial small subunit ribosomal RNA", at positions 56 to 1037 of the family's 1533-position model. Lineage: Bacteria; Bacillati; Actinomycetota; Actinomycetes; Micrococcales; Promicromonosporaceae. The record is from RNAcentral.
UGUCACGUCAGUACGGUAGAAGCCCAGCUUGCUGGGUGGAUCAGUGGCGAACGGGUGAGUAACACGUGAGCAACCUGCCCUCCACUUCGGGAUAAGCCUUGGAAACGAGGUCUAAUACCGAAUAUGAGCAUCUGCCGCAUGGUGGGUGUUGGAAAGUUUUUCGGUGGGGGAUGGGCUCGCGGCCUAUCAGCUUGUUGGUGGGGUGAUGGCCUACCAAGGCGUCGACGGGUAGCCGGCCUGAGAGGGCGACCGGCCACACUGGGACUGAGACACGGCCCAGACUCCUACGGGAGGCAGCAGUGGGGAAUAUUGCACAAUGGGCGAAAGCCUGAUGCAGCGACGCCGCGUGAGGGAUGACGGCCUUCGGGUUGUAAACCUCUUUCAGCAGGGAAGAAGGCCUUCGGGUGGACGGUACCUGCAGAAGAAGCGCCGGCUAACUACGUGCCAGCAGCCGCGGUAAUACGUAGGGCGCAAGCGUUGUCCGGAAUUAUUGGGCGUAAAGAGCUCGUAGGCGGUUUGUCGCGUCUGGUGUGAAAACCCGAGGCUCAACCUCGGGCUUGCAUCGGGUACGGGCAGACUAGAGUGCGGUAGGGGAGACUGGAAUUCCUGGUGUAGCGGUGGAAUGCGCAGAUAUCAGGAGGAACACCGAUGGCGAAGGCAGGUCUCUGGGCCGCAACUGACGCUGAGGAGCGAAAGCAUGGGGAGCGAACAGGAUUAGAUACCCUGGUAGUCCAUGCCGUAAACGUUGGGCACUAGGUGUGGGGCUCAUUCCACGAGUUCCGUGCCGCAGCUAACGCAUUAAGUGCCCCGCCUGGGGAGUACGGCCGCAAGGCUAAAACUCAAAGGAAUUGACGGGGGCCCGCACAAGCGGCGGAGCAUGCGGAUUAAUUCGAUGCAACGCGAAGAACCUUACCAAGGCUUGACAUGCACCGGACGCUGCCAGAGAUGGUGGUUCCGCAAGGUCGGUGCACAG